Long non-coding RNA from Mirounga angustirostris (Northern elephant seal), 1616 nucleotides. RefSeq lists it as uncharacterized. The transcript is spliced from 3 exons. The record is from RefSeq and is a predicted model, not a curated record. Lineage: Eukaryota; Metazoa; Chordata; Mammalia; Carnivora; Phocidae.
UGUCCCUGCCCUGCUGCGCAAUGUGGCCCUGGAAUUAAAUUAAUUUAAACCUGGACUGAUGCAGUGAGGGGACCACUGGUAUCCAUUUAAUGCUUUACAGUUUACGAAUCGUGUUCUAUCGCUUCAACCAUCUUGUGAGCUCCUGUCACCAAGACCAGCAUAUAUCUGGAGGUUGAAAGGCCACAUGGAAAGCGCCCCAGCAAAACCAGACAUGUAAGUGAGGUCAUGAAAAGCCUUCUAGCCCCCACAGACUCUCCAGCUGAAUGCAGCCCUAUGAGUGAGCUCGGGUGAAACCAGAAGAGGAACUGCCCAGCUGACCCACAUAAAUGUAUGUCUCCUCCACAAAGCUGUGAGUUCCUUGAAGACAGGGACGAAGUCGGAUCCUUCCCUGUGUCCUCAGGGCCCAGCACAAGCUGACACACGUCACACUGGCCAUCCCAUACCAGUCAUGCUAUCUUCAGUUCCAAGUAACACAGAUUAAAGGCACCUUAGCCAAUUAGAGCCUAUUGAUAUGAGGGCAGAGGUGUGGAGUCUGGAAACCAUCUUCUGUGAAGAACAGAAGAAUCAGGAAAGUUAAACUUGAAGAAGAGACCACAUUUGCUGACCCAACAGGCCAUUUCUGGGUACUUCUUCUGUGUGAGGCCCUGGGCUGGGCCUGAGGAGGCCACAGAGGAUGCAGCUACAGUCCCUGCCUGGAGAGACCACAGUCUGGACAGGGUCAGAUGUGGAAUGAAGUAACUAUAACACAGUGUGGCCACUGCCAUUAGAGGGGGAUGUAGGUAGACAUGGCCAGGAAAGGACUCUUAGCGGAGGCCUUGCAGGAGGGUAGAGUUAUGACUGUGUUGGAGGCGGGUUUCAGUUUAGGAGGAAGAAUACCUGUCUAACAAUCAGAAUUCUGUAGGAUGGAAGGCUGCCUGAGCACGGCCAUAAUGAACACUUCACAGACUGGAUAUUGAUGUCUGUCCACAAAAGAACCAAUGUGGAGGCGAUAGGAAAUUCUUCGUAACAACAUAGAUAUGAAACUUGCUUCCUUUUACAUGCUAGGUACUAGGAUACAAACACAAACAAACAGUCUCUGGCUUAGAAAACCUCGCAAUUUAGAUAUUGCAAAAAUGUAACACUUUAGCCUUAGACCAGUGUCUCUUGGAUUUGAAUAAUGUAUGGAUUCCUCAAAAAUUAUUGAGUUACUCAGUGCUGGCAAUGCAAAUAUGUUCAAAUUUAAACUCAGUAUAAAUUCUAAUGCAACUAUAAAAGCAUAUCUUUUAUACAGGUAAUUUUUUAUUCAGUACAAACUUUUAUUGAAUAUGAACAAAACUAAAAAAUGAAUAAAGUACCAAUAACACUAAUGCCACUGGUCUUGUUGAAUUCUGUAAACAUUCUCCAGCUAGUAAGUGAAAAAGGCAUGACAGAAUCAGAAUAUCACAUUUUGUGGGGCGCCUGGGUGGCUCAGUCAUUAAGCAUUUGCCUUUGGCUCAGGUCAUAAUCCCAGGGUCCUGGGAUCGAGCCGCACAUCAGGCUCCCUGCUCAGCCGAAAGCCUGCUUCUCCCCCUCCCACUCCCCCUGCUUGUGUUCCCUUUCUUGCUGUGUCUCUCUGUCAAAUAAAUAAAUAAAAUCUU